RNAcentral lists this long non-coding RNA (1450 nucleotides) under Piliocolobus tephrosceles (Ugandan red Colobus). RNAcentral describes it as "lncRNA (ENSPTEG00000010981.1)". Lineage: Eukaryota; Metazoa; Chordata; Mammalia; Primates; Cercopithecidae. The record is from RNAcentral.
AAAGUUCUUCUAUGUUUAACAGUGAAAUUGAGGAAGUUAACGUAAGUACUGAAAACAGUGUUAGUCAGAAUGUUACUAGUAAGAGUAGUGUGUGUGAUAAUAAUAAUAAUAAUAGUAGUAAUAAUAAUAAUAAUAGUAGUAAUAAUAAUAAUAAUAGUAGUAGUAGUAAUAAUAACAUAAAAGAUAAAGUUGACAAUACAGAUAAUAAUAAAAUGCCGUACUAUUUAAAAGUAAGUAAAAAAAGUGUAAAGGAAAUCCAAAGUAAAGAUUGUUUAGGAUGUCCUUUGAACAAUCGUAGUAAUAUAAAAACAAAAGAAUGGCUACCUAAUAAGAAUGAAAAUAUCGAUCGCCAUCAAAAUAAUACACCACUAAAAAAAAUGCAAAAUAUAUUUUUAAAAUGUAUAUACUCAGAUUCUCAUCCAUCGUAUGGCAACUUAGAUUAUAUAAAUGAAACAAAUGCGAUUGUAAAAAAUGAACAAAAUAGUAAUGACAAUAGUAUAGCUAAAGAAAAUUUUAAAAUUAUGGAAACGGUAGUAACGACAGGGUUUAAAAAUAAUACCACAGUAAAUAAGGUACAAACAGACCACAGUAUGACGACAGACACGAUAAAGCAUAAUAUAAAUAACACAAAUGUGAUGAACUCAAAUGUAGUAAACGGGUACAGUCGAAAUUCUGUAAACAUAUUUAAUACGAAAAGUAUGGGUGAGAAAAUAGGCUAUUGUAAAUUGUAUAACACUGGAGAAUGGAUAUGUAAUAAAUGUAACAAAACCAUAGCUGAUAAUAUCAUGCCUUUAAAUAGUGAAAAAUGUUUUAUAGAUAUAUAUACAAUUAUAAAACAAAAAAUAAGUACUAAUAAUUUUGAUAUGAAUUAUAUUUUUAAAAAAAUAGAAGAUAGUUUAUUAUAUGUAGUAACAAUAUUGGGUGAAAAACAUUGGCUAUAUGCUGGUUUUAAUUUUUUAAUUUCGGAUUUAUGUUUUUCAUAUUAUAAUAAUAAUAUAAAUAUGUUAAAUAAAAAAUACUUAUUAAAAAGUUUAAAUGCAUUUAAUAAUUUUUUGUAUUAUAUUCAAACAAAAUGUCCUCAUUCUAUUCAUACUGAUCUUAUACCAAUCGUAUUAAAAUUUUUAAUAUUAUCAAUAUAUACAUAUAAUUAUACAACAUUAUAUAAUUUUUUAAGUGAUGGUUUUUUAGAACUUAUUAAACAGAAAUAUGGUCACUGGGAUGUGUCUUACUUGUCUUUAUUAUAUGCGUUUAAGAUAUGUUAUGAUCACAUUAAUAAGGGCGUACCAAUAGAUAGACAAAUAAUGUUGAUGUUAGCUGCUUUGGCCAAAACAAAUAUGCUAAAUAAUCAUGUUUAACGCAGCACAAAAAAAAAAAAAAAAAAAAAAAAAAAAAAAAAAAAAAUUGUAUCAAUCGUUUUUAUACAUAUAGGCACGCAAAUGUACAUACAUAU